GAAAAAGUACGCAAGAACUGCUAAUUCUACGCCCCCAUACCUAACAGUAUGGCUUUUUCA
This 60-nucleotide transfer RNA is filed under the name Syncerus caffer (African buffalo). RNAcentral's name for it is "tRNA-Ser". Lineage: Eukaryota; Metazoa; Chordata; Mammalia; Artiodactyla; Bovidae. The record is from RNAcentral.